UAAAAAUUAGUUAAUAUAUAAUAUAAGUUUGUCAAACUUAAGUAAUUUGAAUAAAUAUUUUUAU
Molecule: transfer RNA, 64 nt
Filed under: Faxonius rusticus
Lineage: Eukaryota; Metazoa; Arthropoda; Malacostraca; Decapoda; Cambaridae
Also listed under: 1 other name
Description: tRNA-Asp
Source: RNAcentral